This 1503-nucleotide ribosomal RNA is filed under the name uncultured bacterium. RNAcentral's name for it is "bacterial SSU rRNA". It matches the Rfam family "Bacterial small subunit ribosomal RNA". The record is from RNAcentral.
AGGGUUUGAUCCUGGCUCAGGAUGAACGCUAGCGGCAGGCCUAACACAUGCAAGUCGAGGGGUAACAGGAAAGCUUGCUUUCGCUGACGACCGGCGCACGGGUGCGUAACGCGUAUGCAACCUACCUCAUACUGGAGGAUAGCCCCUGGAAACGGGGAUUAAUACUCCAUAGUAUCACGAAUUCGCAUGUUUUUGUGAUUAAAGUUUUUCGGUAUGAGAUGGGCAUGCGUCCCAUUAGCUUGUUGGUGAGGUAAAGGCUCACCAAGGCGACGAUCUUUAGCGGGUCUGAGAGGACGAUCCGCCACAUUGGGACUGAGACACGGCCCAGACUCCUACGGGAGGCAGCAGUGGGGAAUAUUGGACAAUGGGCGCAAGCCUGAUCCAGCCAUACCGCGUGUGUGAAGAAGGCCCUAGGGUUGUAAAGCACUUUAAGUUGGGAAGAAAAGUUAUUGGUUAAUACCCAAUGACCGUGACAUUACCUUCAGAAUAAGGACCGGCUAAUUCCGUGCCAGCAGCCGCGGUAAUACGGAAGGUCCAAGCGUUAAUCGGAAUUACUGGGCGUAAAGCGCGCGUAGGUGGUUUAUUAAGUUGGAUGUGAAAUCCCCGGGCUCAACCUGGGAACUGCAUCCAAAACUAAUUCACUAGAGUACGAUAGAGGGAGGUAGAAUUCACAGUGUAGCGGUGGAAUGCGUAGAUAUUGUGAAGAAUACCAAUGGCGAAGGCAGCCUCCUGGAUCUGUACUGACACUGAGGUGCGAAAGCGUGGGUAGCGAACAGGAUUAGAUACCCUGGUAGUCCACGCCGUAAACGAUGUCAACUAGCUGUUGGAAAACUAUGUUUUUCAGUGGCGCAGCUAACGUAGUAAGUUGACCGCCUGGGGAGUACGGCCGCAAGGCUAAAACUCAAAUGAAUUGACGGGGACCCGCACAAGCGGUGGAGCAUGUGGUUUAAUUCGAUGCAACGCGAAAAACCUUACCUAUACUUGACAUACUUGGAAUACUUUGUAAUGAAGUAGUGCCUUCGGGAACCAAGAUACAGGUGCUGCAUGGCUGUCGUCAGCUCGUGUCGUGAGAUGUUCCGUUAAGUCGGAUAACGAGCGCAACCCUUACCCUUAUUUGCCAGCGAUUCGGUCGGGAACUAUAAGGGGACUGCCGGUGAUAAACCGGAGGAAGGUGAGGACGACGUCAAGUCAUCAUGGCCCUUACGUAUAGGGCUACACACGUGCUACAAUGGAGAAUACAGACGGACGCUAAGCCGCGAGGUGGUGCUAAUCCUAGAAAAUUCUUCGUAGUCCGGAUUGGAGUCUGCAACUCGACUCCAUGAAGUCGGAAUCGCUAGUAAUCGCGAAUCAGCAUGUCGCGGUGAAUACGUUCUCGGGUCUUGUACACACCGCCCGUCAUACCAUGGAAGUGGAUUGCACCAGAAGUAGAUAGUCUAACCUUCGGGAGGGCGUUUACCACGGUGUGCUUCAUGACUGGGGUAAAGUCGUAACAAGGUAGCCGUA